UGCCAGCCGCCGCGGUAAUACGAAAGGGGCAAGCAUUGUUCGGAAUUACUGGGCGUAAAGCGCACGUAGGCGGCAUGCCAAGUUAGGGGUGAAAUCCCGGGGCUUAACCCCGGAACUGCCUCUAAAACUGGUAAGCUAGAGGAUGCGAGAGGAAAGUGGAAUUCCGAGUGUAGAGGUGAAAUUCGUAGAUAUUCGGAGGAACACCAGUGGCGAAGGCGGCUUUCUGGACCGAUACUGACGCUGAGGCGCGAAAGCGUGGGUAGCAAACAGGAUUAGAUA
This 279-nucleotide ribosomal RNA is filed under the name uncultured bacterium. RNAcentral describes it as "partial 16S ribosomal RNA". It matches the Rfam family "Bacterial small subunit ribosomal RNA", at positions 506 to 784 of the family's 1533-position model. The record is from RNAcentral.